This is a non-coding RNA of Labrus bergylta (ballan wrasse), 184 nucleotides long. The record is from RefSeq and is a predicted model, not a curated record. Lineage: Eukaryota; Metazoa; Chordata; Actinopteri; Labriformes; Labridae.
GCUGUGAGCAGCUCCGUCACUCUGACAUCUCUCCCUUAGUGUACUCCAGUGUGCCUCACCGUUCUCAAGUUGCUUCGCCUGACUUUCCUGCAUCACCUUGUUUAUUAUUUUUCUGGCCAGCCAGCUCCCUGCCUUCACUGCCUGCUCUUUUUGAACAUUAAACAGGUUUUUUUGUUACAUUGUA